This 445-nucleotide ribosomal RNA is filed under the name uncultured bacterium. RNAcentral describes it as "partial 16S ribosomal RNA". It matches the Rfam family "Bacterial small subunit ribosomal RNA", at positions 354 to 796 of the family's 1533-position model. The record is from RNAcentral.
GUAAGGAAUAUUGGUCAAUGGAGGCAACUCUGAACCAGCCAUGCCGCGUGCAGGAAGACGGCCCUCUGGGUUGUAAACUGCUUUUAUCCGGGAAUAAACCUGCCUUCGUGAAGGUAGCUGAAUGUACCGGAAGAAUAAUGAUCGGCUAACUCCGUGCCAGCAGCCGCGGUAAUACGGAGGAUCCAAGUGUUAUCCGGAUUUAUUGGGUUUAAAGGGUGCGUAGGCGGCCUGUUAAGUCAGGGGUGAAAGACGGUGGCUCAACCAUCGCAGUGCCCUUGAUACUGAUGGGCUUGAAUGGACUAGAGGUAGGCGGAAUGUGACAAGUAGCGGUGAAAUGCAUAGAUAUGUCACAGAACACCGAUUGCGAAGGCAGCUUACUAUGGUCCUAUUGACGCUGAGGCACGAAAGCGUGGGGAUCGAACAGGAUUAGAUACCCGAGUAGUCC